AAAUCAAUUGGUUAUUAUUGAAUUAGGUGACUGAAAAUCCUCGUGUCGGCAGUUCGAUUCUGCCUCUGGCCACCA
RNAcentral lists this transfer RNA (75 nucleotides) under Legionella micdadei. RNAcentral describes it as "tRNA-Phe (GAA) (tRNA-Phe-GAA-2-1)". Lineage: Bacteria; Pseudomonadati; Pseudomonadota; Gammaproteobacteria; Legionellales; Legionellaceae. The record is from RNAcentral.